UGCAAUCUCGUGACUUCCUGC
Molecule: non-coding RNA, 21 nt
Filed under: Caenorhabditis elegans
Lineage: Eukaryota; Metazoa; Nematoda; Chromadorea; Rhabditida; Rhabditidae
Source: RNAcentral